UACGGGGGGGGCAAGCGUUGUUCGGAAUUACUGGGCGUAAAGGGCUCGUAGGUGGCCAACUAAGUCAGACGUGAAAUCCCUCGGCUUAACCGGGGAACUGCGUCUGAUACUGGAUGGCUUGAGUUCGGGAGAGGGAUGCGGAAUUCCAGGUGUAGCGGUGAAAUGCGUAGAUAUCAGGAAGAACACCAAUGGCGAAGGCAGCUCUCUGGGACGGUACUGACGCUGAGACGCGAAAGCGUGGGGAGCGAACAGG
This 253-nucleotide ribosomal RNA is filed under the name uncultured bacterium. RNAcentral describes it as "partial 16S ribosomal RNA". It matches the Rfam family "Bacterial small subunit ribosomal RNA", at positions 524 to 776 of the family's 1533-position model. The record is from RNAcentral.